ACCCUGAUUUUCUUCCUCAUUCUUGCAGGGUGCAUCUGAGAAAGAUAUCGUCCAUUCUGGUCUGGCAUACACAAUGGAGCGCUCUGCCCGGCAAAUCAUGCGCACUGCCAUGAAGUACAACUUGGGGCUGGACCUGAGAACAGCUGCCUAUGUCAAUGCAAUUGAGAAGGUCUUCAAAGUGUACAAUGAGGCUGGGCUGACCUUCACAUAAACAGGCCCUUCCUGCUCCUUAUUGUAUCCCAUCCUUAUUGCCGUUCAUGUACCCUUUUCUUGAAAAAGCUUAUCACAAGUUUACAUGUAACCACAAAAAUUUCUUUUCUUCUGACAUUAUAGCGGAUUCUAUUCUCAAUUAGUUUCAGUCCAAACUAGUUUUUUUUAUAUAAUAA
Non-coding RNA from Tinamus guttatus (white-throated tinamou), 386 nucleotides. Lineage: Eukaryota; Metazoa; Chordata; Aves; Tinamiformes; Tinamidae. The record is from RefSeq and is a predicted model, not a curated record.